This 3375-nucleotide long non-coding RNA is filed under the name Panax ginseng (ginseng). RNAcentral's name for it is "long non-coding RNA (PGIN_LNC009655)". Lineage: Eukaryota; Viridiplantae; Streptophyta; Magnoliopsida; Apiales; Araliaceae. The record is from RNAcentral.
UAUCUAACUACCUAUUUAUUAUGAAUUACAUCAUUCAUUACAUUGACUUAAUAAAAAAACAUAACAUUAUCUCAGGUUUUACUAACCUUAACUUAUCUUGCAUACCUUUAGAUACUCAAAAGGUUUACAUAAUUAAUUUACAUAAUGUAAUAUAACAAUUAAAAGUUCACAUUAAACUACUUUUGAGAUUUUCAUUUGCCUUUGUCUUUCUUUGACCCUUCAUCUAUCUCGACUUUAGCUGAAAUGUUUUAUUUAAAUCAAGGGUGAGCAACUAGUUUUCUCCGCAAGUUAAAACAUUUAAUAAAGGAUAUAGAAUAAUAUAACUUUCUAAAACUUUGAAAAUAUUCAAAAGAUUGUGAAGUAACUGAACAAUAAAUCAUUUUAAAUAAAAAGAAAUUUCUAAAAAUCCAAGUUGAAUAACUUAUCAAAAAUGAAAGAGUUAAAUUCUUUCGAAGAUUCAAUAAUAUUCAUUUAAUUAGGAAUAAUUAGCUAUAAUACAACAAUAUUCAAUAAAGUGGGAUAUUCCAAGAUUUCAUGUCGAGUGAUCACGAAUGGAUCAAGAACUAAUAAAUGAAUUAUCAGUUAAUUAAUAUUGAAUUACCUCAAGAGUAUAAGUUAACCGUAAAGAUUAAAUCAUACUCUUCUGCGAGUAUAUGAGGUGAUCAGCCCCAUUGUACCCUAUAUUAUGCAUAAUACUCAAAAAUAGCGCAAGGGAUCGGAUGUCCGACAAUAAAGUUCCCCUUUUAAUAAGUGUUGUUCAUCUCAGUCUUACAUCAUGAGUCCGUACCACAACAAUGUGGUUUGAAUUUUUUCAAAGAAAUGCUAUGAUUUCAACAUAUAAUAACAAUAUUGAUCUAGCCGAAAUAAAUGGCAUAGAUAUUUCAAUAACAACUUAAUUCAAAUAAUAUAACGAUUUAUCAAUUAUUAGUCUAGCCGAAACAAAUAGCUGAGACAUGGCUCAUAAACAGUUCAUGAAUAAAAGAACUUUAAAUUAUUUCACAGUUCAAGUAAUAGAACAUGAAAUUAAAUGCACUAUGUGCGAAUAACAAUAAUCAUUAUAGAUGUAAAUAACCAACAAUAAUUAUCCACUAAUCAUGCUUUGAAAUUAAUAACUCAAGUUGAGUUAGGAAACUUGCAAUAAAUGUGAAUAUUCAAUAAUAAUCAUAGAUGUGGAAUAAUCAACAAUAAUUAUCCACUAAUAUGCUUGAAAAAUAAUAACUCAAGUUUGAGUUGGGGAACUUGCCUGAUCUGUUGACUACUGUUACGCAAUUUAAUUCAACUUAUAUUGUAAAACCUAUCUUUAAUAAGAUCGAUCUCUCAACUAGCAUAACAUAUUAUAACUCAUAACACCACUAUUCUUAUAAUAAAUUAUCUAACAUGUAAUCACAUAAUCAAACAUUCAAUAAUACAUUACUUAUUAGGAAUAUUAUCAUUCUUAGAUAAUAUUGCUCACUUAAUCAUUAUCUUAAACUUUUGUCUAAUAUUAUUAAAUAUUUAAUAAUAUUUUAUUCACUUUCUAAUAUUAUUAAUCAUUUAAAAAUAUUUUAAUCCCUUAUUAAUAUUAUUAAUCAUUUAAUAAUAUUUUAGUCACUUGAUAAUAUUAUUAACCACUUAAUAAUAUUCUGUACAUUAAUCACAUCUUAUCCAAUUACUAAUAUUAUUAAUAAAUUAAUAAUAUUUUAAUCAAUAUCUAAUAUCUUAACCAUUCACAAAUGUUAUUACCCAUUUAAUAAUAUUUUAAUCAAUUAAUAAUAUUAUUAAUCAUUUAAUAAUAUUUUAAUUUAACUUUAAUCUAAUAUUAUUAAUUAUUUAAUAAUAUUUUAAAUCAUUAUCUAAUAUUAUUAACCAUUUAAUAAUAUUUUAAUUUAACUUUAAUCUAAUAUUAUUAAUCAUUUAAUAAUAUUUUAAAUAAUUAUAUAAUAUUAUUAAUCAUUUACUAAUAUUUUAAUUUAGCUUUAAUCUAAUAUUAUUAAUUAUUUAAUAAUAUUUUAAAUCAUUAUUAAUUACUUAAUAAUAUCUUAAACUAAUAUUAUUAAUCUCUUAAUAAUAUUUUACUCAUUUAUUAAACUAAUAAAUAAUUUAUUUUAAUUGUUUACCCUUUACUAAUUAUUUUAUUUAACAACCCUAAAAUACCAUAAAUAUAAUACUUCAUCAACAAUGACCAAAAUAUCCUCCAGAAAUCUGAUUACAUCAUAUUAAGGGUUUCUAAGCCAUAAAAUCACAUUUUUACCCUUUUUAACAUUAUAUAACUUAUUUUAUCCAUUUAUUCAUAACUCAAUCAUUUAUAUGAAAAAUAUCAAAUCAACUCCAAAAUUAUUAUUUUUCUAGGAAAUAUCAGUACAUGGUGUCAUGGUGAACAUAUAAUGUUUCUAGAAUUUUUGGAUUUCAUUUACUAUUUUUAAAAUGACCAAAACACCCGGAUCUUGCAACAUUUUUUAUAAAUUGAGUUUUUGUCCAAAAAUUAGGAAAUAUUCAGGGUCUGUUCCUAUCAUAUACAUAUACUCCCUGUAACAAUUUUAAAACUUUUGGAGUUAACGACAAAGAGUUAUUCAAGUUUACUUUUAAAAUAGUCAUUUAUUGUAAAAUCCAUAACUUUAAUUCUACAAAUCCCAAAAAAAUCAUAUUUGGACCAGAUCUAGAUAACUCAUCAUAUUAACAUUCCAAGUUUUUGUAGAAUUUUUAAAGCACAUAAAAAUGAUGAAAUUGCCCUUGCAAGCAGCUGACUAGAAACAGUGUAUUUCCCUUUUUUUUAAAAUAUGGACUUUUUUCACCAAAACAGCUCCCAAGGCUUGUAAAAUCAACAUUUUUGAAUGCUACCUCUUGGGUUUAUUAGUUAACUUACAUAUCUAACACCCCGAUUUGACAUAUCGCACAAAGAAUGUGUAGAUCUCAAGUUAUAACCUUUUAAAGUAGUAGAAAGUUAGGGUUUUCUAGCCCUUAGGAACAUAGUUUUCAUUUUCUUCCUUUGAUCCAAAUUUUUAACACUCAAAAUGGUUAUAUCUAAAAAGAAAAUACUAGAAAACGUCUAGAUCUAUGGUUUUGAAGUGCAAGAUCAUAAGCUCUUAUUUCUUUAAAAACAAACUAAAUAAAAAAGAAAUUAACUAGUUUAUAGUUAGGCUUUUAUACCUUUGAUCUUCGUGAUCUUCUUCCAUGAUAGCUUAAAUAUUUUGGUGGAAUGAAAGAUGAAUUCCCCUCUUCUCCUUGUAAGGGCUACCGAACCCUUCUAUUCUCUCUCUCUCUAUUUGGUUUUGUUAGCUAAGUUGGAAGAAAGAGAAGUAAUGAAGUAAAAAAAAUAUUUGUAAGGUUUUUAUGAUUGGUAAUUAUGUAGAGAUAUACCAUGUAUAUCCAUAUAAAAUCUUCCAACUUAGCUUGCUU